CUGAACCAGCCAAGUAGCGUGAAGGAUGACUGCCCUAUGGGUAGUAAACUUCUUUUAUAAAGGAAUAAAGUCGGGUAUGCAUACCCGUUUGCAUGUACUUUAUGAAUAAGGAUCGGCUAACUCCGUGCCAGCAGCCGCGGUAAUACGGAGGAUCCGAGCGUUAUCCGGAUUUAUUGGGUUUAAAGGGAGCGUAGAUGGAUGUUUAAGUCAGUUGUGAAAGUUUGCGG
Molecule: ribosomal RNA, 227 nt
Filed under: uncultured bacterium
Lineage: Bacteria
Description: partial 16S ribosomal RNA
Rfam family: Bacterial small subunit ribosomal RNA
Source: RNAcentral